CCCGGUGGCCGCCUGACCCCCCAGGUCGCGCCGCCGCUGCUUUUUGCCUGACAGUCUUCUUGCCAGAGGCCUUCACACCUCGUAUGAAGA
This 90-nucleotide transfer RNA is filed under the name Pararhodospirillum photometricum DSM 122. RNAcentral describes it as "tRNA-Ser". The record is from RNAcentral. Lineage: Bacteria; Pseudomonadati; Pseudomonadota; Alphaproteobacteria; Rhodospirillales; Rhodospirillaceae.